CCUUUCCACCACUUUAGUGUCGCUGAGACACAUUUUUGAGUGCUGAAUUCCUGCAUGCUGGUGCUUUUAUUUGAACGAAUGGCUGGUGCAUCCCAAUCAGGAUUGAAGUUUAGAGAAAGGAGCCUCAUGCAGAGAGAUGGACAGAAGUAGGUUAUAGGCAGGAAUAACAUAAAGCUCUCAACUCUGGCUGGAGAUCCCAAGAAAAUAGCCUGCAUUUUCUUCUGUGAACUGCCAAAACUGCUGGAGUGAAGCCCUAGAUCAAUAUUCCACAAAAAGUUCCCUGGGAGUGGUAUGCUUAAGCAGGAGAGGGAAGGAGAUCUCCUAGAUGCUCUGAGAUCUCUGAGGCUUUACCAGGAAACAGGGAGAUUGCUGAAAUUAGAUGGCAAAUUUAUAAAGCUGAGGCUAUACAACUCUUAAAAAUACCUGCCAAGCCUUAGGUGCAGCAGUUCCAGAUUUUAAAUGAGAGGGCCAAUGUUAACAAGACACAAUCCAACUACACAUGUUCAGAGACAUGAAUAACCAGCUGAGACAAACGGCCUUGAAAUUACAUGCUUACGGGAAAAAGUUAACUUGUAUAUUAAAACAUACAAACCCUGCUUUAUGGUCCCCGAAGAAAUGGAUAUAAAUGUGCAAGUGCACAGAACAUUUGCAUCGUUCUCCUGCCCGUGAUCUGUUACAGUGCAACACAAGUCUGGGCUUGAGGCAACUCUGUUCCUACGCCAAAAUUGUAUGGAAUGCACAAGAAGGUCAAGACUAGGAAUUUAUGUGUUUUGCAGUUAUUUAGAAAUUACGGGAAAGAGAACUUGGCUACUCCUGGCAUUGCACAGGUGUAUUUAACUGAGACCGUUCUUUGGGUCAGACUGUUUCAAUAAAAAUUCCACUUUAUCAGAAGCAAUGGCCCUGUGCAUGCUGUUAUUAGAAUAGAAAAGACAGGUCAAUGUGGGGAGAGGAACUAAGGGAUCACCUUCAAAAUUAUUUCUUUGCACCAUCUUUCUACCAGUAAAGUCUAGGCUUGAUGUUAGAGGAUCGUUAUCUGAAAGGAAGAUAAUUAAUGAUAACGUAUUAAGUCUGUGUAUGUGGAAAGAACCUAGAAAUAUUACUGUACAUUUUCAUUUGGUUGUGAAAACACUCAAAAGUCAUCACAGGAAGUAUCAUUUGAACUCUUCACUGUAUAACGAAUAAAAUGUUUCAGGAGCUAAGCAAACCUAAACUGUCACAUUUUUGAAGUGUAUGUUGUUAUUAUUAUUAUUGUAAACGGAUAGUGUCCUCUAACCAUAGCAGUGUAUCUGGAAACAAUUAAACAAUUAAAAUAGCUGUGCGUCAGAAUAAAAAUUCAUAGACCUAAUGGUGCAGGAAUUAUCAACAAGUGUACUAAGUGUAAGAGAAGUAGGCUCAGCACAGCUGCUUAAAUUUGUUUAAACUAACAGACGAGACGUAGCAGCAGUUUUAAAAUGCUGAGGCUGCCAGAGCAAUAGAAGUCAGCUGAAAACAGUGUUGUUCUAUAGAGGAGGGAGCUCCACCCUACCUGAGAUUUAAAGGAAGACCUAUAGGCUCUACUACUAAUGAGGUGUUAGAAGACACCAUAACCCCUGGCCAAAGCAUAUUAGCACAAACACGAACGCUGAUGUACCACAUUGGGACUAUACAAAAAAGAUUCAUGCAUAGUAAAACUAUCCUAUAAACACAAGAUUUGUUCAAAAAGGGCCAGGAGGACAAGGCUGGGAGAUGACACAAGUAAAAUGGACAGAUGGAACAAAGGAAACAUGAGAACAUGCAGAUGAAAAGAAACUGUCCAGCCAAGUCUCAAAGAUAAGCAUUAGGCUGACCCUGAACAGCUGUCAACGACAUGGGACUGUCAAUGUUUUGUGCUCUCAAUAUUGCACCUGUGCAAAACACUACUCCACAUUCUUACUGUUUCUUGGGAAUUAGACACAGCGACAAGUUUUCUAGCUUUCAAAUUAAGGAGUUAGUUUUUCCUUUUGAAAAAAAAAAACAACAAAACAAAUGCUGAAGAAAUCCUUCAAAAUUAGUGGCAGCUCAUGAAAAGUUUCCCAACAACAGCUUUAAAAAGUAACACAUCCAGCUUUGUGGGCAAUGGAGCAGACUUUCCACAAUACAGCGUGUGCUACUCCAGUAGUAAUCUGUCAAUGCAUGGAAAGUUAGCAGUGUCUGGACAGCCCAGGGGUGGGUAAUGCAACACAGAUGAUUUCACCUUUAGGUCUCCAGUUCAAAAAAAUACUGCCCACAAAGUGUCAUCACCUGAUAGUUUUUACUACGUCUAUUUACAGAACAAAAUUUCCCAAAGGGCCAAACUGAGAUCAAGAGUUUCUGUCUACUCCCUCCCUCCUCUUGCUCACAUUGUGUCUAUGCUCAGGAACAGACCUCCUCUACAGAUCUCAUAUUGUAGACAGACUGCAGAUAUGAUGGAAAUAAAGAACGGAAGACUGAAAUACGUUGUCAAAAUUCAGUGAGUCAGACAUAAAAGUGAUUCUGACUCCUAAGCUGACGACAUUCUUACUGGUGUACCUCCCCCAAAAGGCAAAAACAUAUGCAGCAAGAUCUGAGCUCCAGCAGCAUCAACAUUACUAGACAAGUGCAUAUUUUCCUGUUGGCCCCUCUGGAAUAGGACUGAUACCUCCCAGGAGUGCUACCUCCCUUUGCAUAGGCUGCAGAGAUGAUCUGUGCACACAGGGAGCAGAUCUGGGAUUCCCUGGCAUGCAACAGCCUGGACGGAGCUGCCACUUGGGUGUCUGGGAAUCUUGGGCAAAAAUUUAAAAAAAAAAACAAACACAACCAAAACCCUCAAAGCUCAUUUUUACCUAGACAAAGCAUCCGCAUCCAAGAUGUAACAACCUGAGAACAGUGUCUUUCAUAAUUAUUUGAUUCAAAGGAGCAGAAAUCCAUGCUCCCACUCUGCUCUCCUAAUACCAGAACCACCUAUGAUUAUGAUUAUAUAUAACAUCAGUAAAGAAACCCUUGCAUUAAUUCCUUCUAACUCUAAAGAUGCCCUUUCCAGGUCAAGCUGGCAGGUGGGCAGGAAUCCUGCUGAAGCUUAGAUCACAGUAUCCACCAAACACUUCCCAUGGAUGCCAAACUCAUUCGUUCUAGAGAAUUACACCCUGUUCUCAGUAAAAUAAUGAAAAUAAUAAAAAAGUACUAGGAAAAAAAAUAUGAAAGGGAGCCCAUCCAGAACAAAGCAUCAACAGCAUCAAAGAGCUCUGGAUUAUCUCUCCAUAUAAUCAACUGUCUCAUCUCACCAUUCUGCAAUAACAAGCAGUAAUUCUCUCACUACAAUUCUAUUUCCACUGUAAAUCAUUUCAAUUCUGACAUCUUCACUGAGGAAUAAAUAACAUGUGACCUUAUCUAACUUCAAUGUGGUAUUAAUUUUAACAGGAAAAAAAAGUGGUUUAUGAAAUUCAGGAGCUUAGGGUAACUGGGGGGAUAUAGGUCUGCCUCAGAGGGUAGCAUACGGAUUUAAUUUUCCCUACAUUUUUCACCAAAUUCUAGGAACUACAAUAAUGUUUUGCUAUAGGGUGGCACAAAAUCAUAAUCUUUGCUAGGAGAAUCAGGGGUCUGGAUGAUGCACUGGGCAGGAGAAAGAACAGUUGAAAAACAACUGCAAAACCUUACACAGACUUGAUUUCUUUCCAAGCUUUUCAUGUAACU
Long non-coding RNA from Apus apus (common swift), 3666 nucleotides. RefSeq lists it as uncharacterized. The transcript has 4 exons. Lineage: Eukaryota; Metazoa; Chordata; Aves; Apodiformes; Apodidae. The record is from RefSeq and is a predicted model, not a curated record.